UACGAAGGGGGCUAGCGUUGUUCGGAAUUACUGGGCGUAAAGCGCGCGCAGGCGGGUCAUCAAGUCAGGGGUGAAAGCCCAGAGCUCAACUCUGGAACUGCCCUUGAAACUGGUGACCUUGAGUACGGGAGAGGUGAGUGGAAUUCCCAGUGUAGAGGUGAAAGUCGUAGAUAUUGGGAAGAACACCGGUGGCGAAGGCGGCUCACUGGCCCGUAACUGACGCUGAGGGGCGAAAGCAUGGGGAGCGAACAGG
Molecule: ribosomal RNA, 253 nt
Filed under: uncultured bacterium
Lineage: Bacteria
Description: partial 16S ribosomal RNA
Rfam family: Bacterial small subunit ribosomal RNA
Source: RNAcentral